This 2672-nucleotide long non-coding RNA is filed under the name Homo sapiens (human). Its description in RNAcentral is "HSALNT0003091". Lineage: Eukaryota; Metazoa; Chordata; Mammalia; Primates; Hominidae. The record is from RNAcentral.
CAGACAUAGUAGUGGCUCCCGUCUGCAGUCCCAGCUACUUGGGAAGCUUAGGUGGAAGGAUCCCUUGAGCCCAGGAAUUGGAGGUUGCAAUGAGCCAUGGUUGAGCCACUGCACUCCAGCCUUGGGGUGACAGAGCAAGACCCCCUCUCUAAAAAAAAAAAAGCCACAAAAAUACAAAUUUUUAUAAGAAAGUGCUGGAGUAAAAGGAGAUAAUGUGUGACUGAGUGAUCUUAACCAAUUGCAGUUAAAAAAUGUUUUUAACAAAUUUUACAAAAAACGUUCACUCUGUGAACACAUCAUUCAUUAGGACCUCCCUCAGCUCUUUGGAAGGAGCUAAUAGUGUAAAUGAAGGGUUUUGAGGCCACGACUUCAUUAGCAACUCAAUAAAUCCACCUGUGCCUCUGCUGGAGCCGUGGUUUUCCACAAAGAAUUGACAGGCCUAAAAGGUCAAUAGUGCCUUGGCUGAGAAAGCUUGUGCUCCAGGGAGGAAACCUGAAGAAAGAGGUUGCCAAACUCUUCUUGGGUGGUCAUUGAUUGCACCCAAAUUGCAUUUUAUGAGACUCUCAGAUCCAUUAUCUCUCUUGGUCUUGGGAAGACAGUAGAGGGAGUUGGGAUGGAUUGUUCAGCUCUUUGCAUUACAAAUGUAUCCUGGGUGACAGAGAGGGUGUCCUGCAGUUGCUCCCAUGCUCCCUGACUCUCUUCUCUCUUCUCAUUGUUGUCUCUCUUUAGGCCAGCCCUGUCCAAUGCAAAGGCGAGCCCUGGUUCCAUGGGUGAGGAAGGGAUCUCUGGGUGCUUCCAGGCUGAACCUCUAGUCUGGUAAACAUCUGAAAGCAAACACUCCUCUCCCAUGAGAAUUGGUCUCCUGGAGAGCAUGCCUUUCUGAGUGACAACAAAAGUGAUCCAGAAUCUGAAUGGAAAGGAAUCUGGAGAUCAUCUAGUCCCAACUCCUAUAUAACACAGUUCGUCUUCAGUAUUACCCAAAAUGUGUAUAGUCUGUGCUUGAACACCGUGUGUCACAGAGAAUUCACUGACUCACAUCACUCCUCGCCAUUGUGCAUCAGCUUCAGAUAUUAAAACGCCUUCCCUUGAACCAAACUGAUCUUCUGGCAACUUCCACCAGCUGGGGUAAGUUUGGACUUUUGGGGCCAUGGUUAAGUCAAUUCCCUUUUCCCCAUGGCAAUACUUCAUCAAUAAACUAUGGGUUUUUUGCUUUUUUGUUCUUGUUGUUUUUGAGACAGGGUCUCACUCUGCCGCCCAGGCUGGAGUGCAGUGGCACAAUCUCGGCUUACUGCAGCCUCUGCCUCCCAGGCUCAGGUGAUCCUCCCACCUCAGCCUCAGUCCCAGUAGCUGGGACUACAGGCGUGCACCACCAUGCCUGUUAGUUUUUGAAUUUUUGGUGGAGAUGAGGUUUCACCAUGUUGCCCAUGGCUGGUCUUGAACUCCUGGACUCAAGCAAUCUGCUUGCCUCGGCCUUCCAAAGUGCUGGGAUUACAGGUGUUAGCCACUGCGCCUGGCCUAAUAAAAUAAACUAUGUUCUAUUAGUGCCUGCUUCCUGGGGAUACUGUGAGGACUAAAUGAGGACCUGCCCAUAGUGAGGACUCAGGAAAUGUUCGCAAUGAUUACAUAAUUUGAAUAGCAUUCAUGGGCUCCAUCAACCCUGGCUAGUUGCUACCCCCUGGUAAUAAUAACAGCGAAUAUUUAUUGAAGGCUUACUGAGAGGCCUUGUACCAACUCUCCUCUAUGUAGUCCUCAAAACAACUCUGUAAUUUGGAUUAUGCCCACAGAGAAGAUACAUCACUUGUCCAAGAUGACAUUAUGGCAAAACUAAGGCAGGAACUGGGCUGUUUGAUUCCAAGCCCAUGUACUUUGCCUCAUCUUUUUUUUUUUUUUUUUUGUAAGCGAUAGGGGUCUCACUCUGUGGUCCAGCCUGGGGUCUAGUGUUGCAAUCACAGUUCAUUGUAUCCUCGAACUCCUGGGUUCAAGGGAUCCUCCUUCCUUAGCCUCGCAAGUAGCUGGGAAUGCAGACGUGCAUCACCAUGCCAGGCUAAUUCUUUUUUUUUUUUUUUUGGUAGCGAUGGGGUCUCCUUAUGUUGCCCAGACUCGUCUUGAACUCCUGGCCUCAAGCAAUCCACCUGCCUUGGCCUCCCAAAGUGCUGGGAUUACAGGUGUGAGCCACUGUGCCUGACCUGCCUCAUCUUUAAAAAAAGUUUUAAAAUUAAUUUUAAAUUUAAAAAAAUUGCCUCAUAUUUUGUGCACUCAAGUCUCAGACUAUUGCCACUCACCUCUGGGCAGGUUCCAAUGGGAAGCGCUCUUCUGUGCGACUCCUCGUGCAGGUCCUUGGGUCCUGGUGUUGGCCACCAUAACAGGCCAUAGCAGAAUGAUUUCUGUGGUAUCCCUGGGAGCUUUGGCAAUUUCAGAGCCAAAGGAGAUGCCAGACUGCCUGGCUCCAAAGGGGCCGAGACUGGGUCUCAACUGUCUUUCCUCAUUGGAUAGCCUACAUUAAAGGAUCAUUUUCAAAAAAGAGUAAAAUCACGAUUCUCAUUGGGAUAUUAAAAAAACACAUGUUAAAGAUUUUAUUUAUUCUUUUUUUAAAUUAUUUAUUUAUUUUUUUGAGAUGGAGUUUUGCUCUUGUUGCCCAGGCUGGAGUACAGUGGCCCAGUCUCAGCUCACUG